RNAcentral lists this long non-coding RNA (599 nucleotides) under Piliocolobus tephrosceles (Ugandan red Colobus). Its description in RNAcentral is "lncRNA (ENSPTEG00000035955.1)". Lineage: Eukaryota; Metazoa; Chordata; Mammalia; Primates; Cercopithecidae. The record is from RNAcentral.
AGGUUUCCGAAGCAAAGGUUACUUAGAAGUGGAGGUUCCACUGCCAGCUUCCCCCCCGCUGCAAAACCUGACACUCCUCACCCUCAGGGUUCAGCAAGAUUCUCGGAAAGGCCUCUUCUGAUUCUAGGAGGUGCUGCAGCAGGAGCUGACUCGGCCAUUUCCUGUCCUCUUUAGUUGGAAGAUGACAGAAAGGCGGAAGCAGGGACUGCUAUUGUGAGGCCCAUGGCAGCCUCCCUGUAAAACAAAUUGGCAAAUUGUCACCAUCAGAUGGACCACAGCUGGCCCUCUGCAGAGCCCUCCUUGGCCUUUCCAGAGUGUGCAUGAUUGUGUCCCAUGUCCAGGGAGAGGACAGAGCCACCAGGAGGGUCAAGGUCAUGGAGGGAAGCAUGGAGUGAGUCCUGCUGCGUAAAUCUGUGCUGAUGUCACCCAGUGCCUUCACCUGCCCGUUGGUGAAAAUCCUGGGACAAGACCCUCACCUGCCUGCACAGGGGGGCCAUGAGGUCUAGAGGCCCAAAUGAAGGCCUCACUAAAUGGACCCUGAGGUGUCAGGGCCACUGGCAUGGUGCCAGGGCCUGUCUGUUCUUCCUGCUAGCCAAAGA